AUACGUAGGUGGCAAGCGUUGUCCGGAUUUACUGGGUGUAAAGGGCGUGUAGGCGGAGAUGCAAGUCAGGAGUGAAAUCUAGGGGCUCAACCCCUAAACUGCUUUUGAAACUGUAUCCCUUGAGUAUCGGAGAGGCAGGCGGACUUCCCACUGUAGCGGUGAAAUGCGUAGAUAUUAGGAGGAACACCAGUGGCGAAGGGGGCCUGCUGGACGACAACUGACGCUGAGGCGCGAAAGCGUGGGGAGCAAACAGGAUGAGAUACCCUGGUAGUCCACGCUGUAAACGAUGAAUACUAGGUGUGGGGGGACUGACCCCCUCCGUGCCGCAGUUAACACAAUAAGUAUUCCACCUGGGGAGUACGAUCGCAAGAUUGAAACUUAAAGGAAUUGGCGGGG
This 396-nucleotide ribosomal RNA is filed under the name uncultured bacterium. Its description in RNAcentral is "partial 16S ribosomal RNA". It matches the Rfam family "Bacterial small subunit ribosomal RNA", at positions 523 to 918 of the family's 1533-position model. The record is from RNAcentral.